GACGAAUGCUGGCGGCGUGCUUAACACAUGCAAGUCGAACGCUGAAGCUCAGCUUGCUGGGUGGAUGAGUGGCGAACGGGUGAGUAACACGUGAGUAACCUGCCCCCUUCUUUGGGAUAACGCCCGGAAACGGGUGCUAAUACUGGAUAUUCACUGAUCUUCGCAUGGGGGUUGGUGGAAAGUUUUUUUCUGGUGGGGGAUGGGCUCGCGGCCUAUCAGCUUGUUGGUGGGGUGAUGGCCUACCAAGGCUUUGACGGGUAGCCGGACUGAGAGGUUGACCGGGAACAUUGGGACUGAGAUACGGCCCAGAGUAGUACGGGAGGCAGAAGUGGGGAAUAUUGCACAAUGGGCGAAAGACUGAUGCCGCGAGGCCGAGUGAGGGAUUGAGGCCUUCGGGUUGUAAACCUCUUUCGCUAAUGGUCAAGCCGCAACAUUGGUUGUGGUGAGGGUAGUGGGUAAAGAAGCGCCGGCUAACUACGUG
This 481-nucleotide ribosomal RNA is filed under the name uncultured bacterium. Its description in RNAcentral is "partial 16S ribosomal RNA". It matches the Rfam family "Bacterial small subunit ribosomal RNA", at positions 28 to 507 of the family's 1533-position model. The record is from RNAcentral.